UCGGGAAUUUUGGGCAAUGGGCGAAAGCCUGACCCAGCAACGCCGCGUGAGGGAUGAAGUAUUUCGGUAUGUAAACCUCGAAAGAAUGGGAAGAAUAAAUGACGGUACCAUUUAUAAGCUCCGGCUAACUACGUGCCAGCAGCCGCGGUAAUACGUAGGGAGCAAGCGUUGUUCGGAUUUACUGGGCGUAAAGGGCGCGUAGGCGGCGCGGUAAGUCACUUGUGAAAUCUCUGAGCUUAACUCAGAACGGCCAAGUGAUACUGCUGUCAUAGAGUGCGGAAGAGGCAACCGGAAUUCUUGGUGUAGCGGUGAAAUGCGUAGAUAUCAAGAGGAACACCUGAGGCGAAGGCGGGUUGCUGGGCCGACACUGACGCUGAUGCGCGAAAGCCAGGGGAGCAAACG
This 402-nucleotide ribosomal RNA is filed under the name uncultured bacterium. RNAcentral's name for it is "bacterial SSU rRNA". It matches the Rfam family "Bacterial small subunit ribosomal RNA", at positions 355 to 774 of the family's 1533-position model. The record is from RNAcentral.